RNAcentral lists this ribosomal RNA (1478 nucleotides) under Synechococcus sp. MEDNS5. Its description in RNAcentral is "bacterial SSU rRNA". It matches the Rfam family "Bacterial small subunit ribosomal RNA". The record is from RNAcentral. RNAcentral also lists the same sequence under 1 other name. Lineage: Bacteria; Bacillati; Cyanobacteriota; Cyanophyceae; Synechococcales; Synechococcaceae.
AGAGUUUGAUCCUGGCUCAGGAUGAACGCUGGCGGCGUGCUUAACACAUGCAAGUCGAACGAACCUUCGGGUUAGUGGCGGACGGGUGAGUAACGCGUGGGAAUCUGCCCUCAGGAGGGGGAUAACGGCUGGAAACGGCCGCUAAUACCCCAUAUGCCGAGAGGUGAAAUGAAUUUCGCCUGAGGAUGAGCCCGCGUCUGAUUAGCUAGUUGGUGAGGUAAGAGCUCACCAAGGCAUCGAUCAGUAGCUGGUCUGAGAGGAUGAUCAGCCACACUGGGACUGAGACACGGCCCAGACUCCUACGGGAGGCAGCAGUGGGGAAUUUUCCGCAAUGGGCGAAAGCCUGACGGAGCAACGCCGCGUGAGGGAUGAAGGCCUCUGGGCUGUAAACCUCUUUUCUCAAGGAAGAAGAUCUGACGGUACUUGAGGAAUAAGCCACGGCUAAUUCCGUGCCAGCAGCCGCGGUAAUACGGGAGUGGCAAGCGUUAUCCGGAAUUAUUGGGCGUAAAGCGUCCGCAGGCGGCCCUUCAAGUCUGCUGUUAAAACGUGGAGCUUAACUCCAUCAUGGCAGUGGAAACUGUUGGGCUUGAGUGUGGUAGGGGCAGAGGGAAUUCCCGGUGUAGCGGUGAAAUGCGUAGAUAUCGGGAAGAACACCAGUGGCGAAGGCGCUCUGCUGGGCCAUAACUGACGCUCAUGGACGAAAGCCAGGGGAGCGAAAGGGAUUAGAUACCCCUGUAGUCCUGGCCGUAAACGAUGAACACUAGGUGUCGGGGGAAUCGACCCCCUCGGUGUCGUAGCCAACGCGUUAAGUGUUCCGCCUGGGGAGUACGCACGCAAGUGUGAAACUCAAAGGAAUUGACGGGGGCCCGCACAAGCGGUGGAGUAUGUGGUUUAAUUCGAUGCAACGCGAAGAACCUUACCAGGGUUUGACAUCCUGCGAACCUCUUGGAAACGAGAGGGUGCCUUCGGGAACGCAGUGACAGGUGGUGCAUGGCUGUCGUCAGCUCGUGUCGUGAGAUGUUGGGUUAAGUCCCGCAACGAGCGCAACCCACGUCUUUAGUUGCCAGCAUUUAGUUGGGCACUCUAGAGAGACCGCCGGUGAUAAACCGGAGGAAGGUGUGGAUGACGUCAAGUCAUCAUGCCCCUUACAUCCUGGGCUACACACGUACUACAAUGCUACGGACAAAGAGCAGCAAGUUCGCGAGGACAAGCAAAUCUCAUAAACCGUGGCUCAGUUCAGAUCGUAGGCUGCAACUCGCCUACGUGAAGGAGGAAUCGCUAGUAAUCGCAGGUCAGCAUACUGCGGUGAAUACGUUCCCGGGCCUUGUACACACCGCCCGUCACACCAUGGAAGUUGGCCACGCCCGAAGCCGUUACUCCAACCCUUGUGGAGGAGGACGUCGAAGGUGGGGCUGAUGACUGGGGUGAAGUCGUAACAAGGUAGCCGUACCGGAAGGUGCGGCUGGAUCACCUCCUAA